CCCAGGAGGGCACGUAACAGUCGAGCGGAUGACGGGAGCUUGCUCCUUGAUUAGCGGCGGACGGGUGAGUAAUGCCUAGGAAUCUGCCUGGUAGUGGGGGACAACGUUUCGAAAGGAACGCUAAUACCGCAUACGUCCUACGGGAGAAAGCAGGGGACCUUCGGGCCUUGCGCUAUCAGAUGAGCCUAGGUCGGAUUAGCUAGUUGGUGAGGUAAUGGCUCACCAAGGCGACGAUCCGUAACUGGUCUGAGAGGAUGAUCAGUCACACUGGAACUGAGACACGGUCCAGACUCCUACGGGAGGCAGCAGUGGGGAAUAUUGGACAAUGGGCGAAAGCCUGAUCCAGCCAUGCCGCGUGUGUGAAGAAGGUCUUCGGAUUGUAAAGCACUUUAAGUUGGGAGGAAGGGCAGUAAGUUAAUACCUUGCUGUUUUGACGUUACCGACAGAAUAAGCACCGGCUAACUCUGUGCCAGCAGCCGCGGUAAUACAGAGGGUGCAAGCGUUAAUCGGAAUUACUGGGCGUAAAGCGCGCGUAGGUGGUUCGUUAAGUUGGAUGUGAAAGCCCCGGGCUCAACCUGGGAACUGCAUCCAAAACUGGCGAGCUAGAGUACGGUAGAGGGUGGUGGAAUUUCCUGUGUAGCGGUGAAAUGCGUAGAUAUAGGAAGGAACACCAGUGGCGAAGGCGACCACCUGGACUGAUACUGACACUGAGGUGCGAAAGCGUGGGGAGCAAACAGGAUUAGAUACC
Molecule: ribosomal RNA, 748 nt
Filed under: Pseudomonas monteilii
Lineage: Bacteria; Pseudomonadati; Pseudomonadota; Gammaproteobacteria; Pseudomonadales; Pseudomonadaceae
Description: bacterial SSU rRNA
Rfam family: Bacterial small subunit ribosomal RNA
Source: RNAcentral